UUUCACUUUAUUGUGAUGUGUGAAAGAAAGAGAAUGCUCAUAGGGAACAGAAUGAGGCUCUCUUACAUUUUUCUGUGUUUAAAAAAAAAAUGUUCGCAGGAAAAUAUAUAGAACGGUAUGCUUUUUAACAAAGAAUUUGCUGACAUUUUUGUUCCACCUAGUUGUUUUAAGCUUGCUGUGGCUGCUUAAAGACGCCUCCAGAUGGCGCCAUAGUGCUCGUUCUCUCCGCCCAGUGGCCGACCGAAUACCACCAGCUGCAGGAGAGAACGAGCUUGGAGCUAGCGGCUGGGCUUAACCCGGCGAAGCUCUGAGGUGGGUUGCUGAAGGAUUCCGGGAAGCAGCUGCAACAGGGCAUCUCUCACUAUCCAAGCAUAUCUGUUUCUGAGUGCAAAAGGAAGAACUUGAGCGGGCGACAAUUGGAGUGAAAAUUGCUUUGUAGUAUCUAAAAGCAGCAUGGAUCGUGGGCAGCUGAGCUGGGCUACCCUCAAAGGACGGUUACAUUUUUAACCUUCCCUGAAGAAAUUUUAGCACUUCAUAAAAAGAAAAUGUACCAUACAUAGUAAUCCUCUCAGUCUUCCAGUGGGAGAAGAUAUGUGCUGGCAUUAUGGAUCCCUGAUCUUUGGAACAACAAAUCAACAGAAAUUCAUGUGAAAAUCAUUGACCACCAUAUGCUGCUCAAGCUUCCUUCAGCUCCUAAUUCUAGGAGCUUGAGAACUAAAGCAAACCACAGACAGCCACAGGCACUCACUACCAGCCCUGACAAAGCAAAUCGCAAAACUCACCUCACAAGUUUCAGAUAAUGGUGAUGAUGAUGAUGAUGAUGAUGAUUUUGGUCCUGGCUCCAUUAGAGGUGGCAGCCAGCAACUCCUGUGGAAGGUCCAGCAGACCAGGAUACCCACAACAGCUGUGGUCCCUCAACUCCCUCCCACCAGCCCAGACUUGAAGCUGCUGAAGGAGCAAAGAGUACCUCUGACACCAUACUUGCAGGUGAUUUUAAACUAGGUAGUUAAAAACUGACUUGUUUAAUUCUGACCUGUAUAUAAUUUUUGUGUAAGCUAGCUAAUACUGAGAGGCUAAAAAUUAAGGAUCAUAUAAAACCUGUACAUAAUUCUAUUACUUCCAUCUGACAAAAUUCAGAUUUUAAUGUGCAUCUUUAUUUAUGUUACUUCACUUUUUAAUUUUUUUAUUUAGAAAAUACCUUCAGCAAAAAAACCAUUAAAGUGAUUUUCAGUCAAAAAAUAUGUGUCGAUUAAACUUUAAGCAAAAUCUCAC
RNAcentral lists this long non-coding RNA (1272 nucleotides) under Ovis aries (sheep). RNAcentral's name for it is "lncRNA (ENSOARG00000025613.1)". Lineage: Eukaryota; Metazoa; Chordata; Mammalia; Artiodactyla; Bovidae. The record is from RNAcentral.